AAGCCAAUACUGGAAUUAUAUUUAUCCUGGUCCCAUUUUGGCAAUAUAUAACGUGGGAUCGGAGAGCCUGAAUCCUCAGCAACUUCUGGAGCUCUUUAACAGGGGGAACCACUCCUGGCUUUUGCACGGUAAAAGAAUAACAAUAGUUGGUUGAAAGCUGUUCGGCUGCUGUAACAAUCUGUUCCCCUUUCUCAGCCUUUUUAUCAUUAACUGUAGUAGCCCAGCGAACCAAAGUCUUUCUUAGCCCUUCUCCACCCCAUCGGUACUCAAUAUGUGAGUGGUAAUAAAAGUCAACCACAAAGGGACCAUCCUCUGAAUUAAGAUUUGAGUAAAAUAGGUCACUACCACUGUUGCAUAUAAAAGCAUCAAAAUCACUGGGACUAAAUCCCCCUGUGACCAGAAAUGAGUGUAUCUCAGAUAUGGUCAAAGACGUUGACAAUAUGAACCCUAUUGAGCCUUCAGUCCUUUCUUUUUCAACAGCCUCGAAAAUUUUUCUAGUUGCCUCUAUAAGCCCAGAAAUGGCAUCGAAAUCCACUGCAAUGACAAAAAUUUGUUUCCUCCUUCUCAAAGCUGGAAACUUACCAGAACUAUUGUAUUGUUCUCCUCUUUCUAUGUAUCCAGUCUUUUGUGUGUUCUUCAAAACACCCUUUGACCAUGCCAAAACAGCAUUCUCUAACUUACCCUUUCUAUCAGCAUCUCCUUCAGAUUCUAGAGAAUUAUCAUUUCCACUAGCUCCAGUCUUUUCUCCAUCCAAUGAGAACUUCAAGUUCAAAGAUAUAUCAUGUAUGUCCCUUAACGAAUCACCUGGUGAAUCUGUAUCUGAAGUAUCAGCUCCAUCAUUAUCUUUUUGCCACUGUGGAUGCCUUGGUUUGCAGCUGGCUAUUCGUGAUAGGUAAGUCUUGCAAUGCUCUGGCCAUGAGAAUAGGUGAAUAUUCUUCAAUCCAUUUUGUCGGCAUUUUGCCCAAAGCUGCUUGUCAGCAACAAGCUUUAGAAGAGCAUCAGCAAUAGACUGCUGAUCAUGAGGAUCAACAAGAAGACCAUUGUCCAGUACCCGGUGUAUGUCCACUGGGCCUCCAUUUUUUGUGGCAACAAUGGGCAAACCAUGAGCUGCUGCCUCAAUCAAAGUAAGCCCGAAUGGCUCAAUGAAGGCUGGAUUGAUGAAAACACCCUUUGUCUUUGCUGCUAGACGAUAUAUGUCAGGGACACCAGCCUGCUUGUGGUGUUUAGGGUAUGCAACUUGCCCAUACAGAUCAUACUUGUCAAUAAGCUUAAGCACUGAAAGAAGAACAGAAGCAUUUGUGCUUGACAUUUCAUCAAUUCCAUCUCGGUUACCCAUAAUUAGCGUAAGGUUAGCAAGCUCUCUUAAUGGACGACAUUCUCCAAAUGCUUUAACCAAAGUUGUGAUGUUCUUUUUGGGAUCUGGCCUAGCAAGGGCAAGUAUCAUAGGCUUACGAGGAUUCGUAAAGAAGCGCAUUAUCUCAGACCAUAUUGGUGGAUCAGGAGAAGUAGGAUGGUCCUCAUUUCCUUCCACUUCACCGUCCAUAUCCCCUUCUUGGGGAACAAUGUGAUGAAACUCCAUCCCAGGAGGAAUUAUAGCCAUGCGAGGCAUGAACCUGCCAUAACAGCUCACAUUACGCUUGAUUCUUGCUCGCAGUUUACGCUCCAGUAUUGGAUCAAAACCAUCAUAUAAGCGCCACUGCUCAUCAAUCUCCUGUCUAGUGCUAGUUAUGACUAUUUCAGAAGAAUCCAGCGAAAAUUCCUCAGCCUCUAUCCGACGCAUUAUUUUGUAUGUAGAAUUUAUUUCAUCCCUCGAUAAUCGGCCUUGUUUUAGUAGCUGUUCUAACUUAUCCCGGCCAAGUGAGUGACCAGUGAAAAGCAUUGGCACAUUUAAAGAACCUGAUAGAAGAGCAGCAGAAUCGCCUGCAUCAGCAUAAUGUCCGUGGAUGGCAACAGGCCAGAUUGGCUUCCCACCACCAAUUUGCUCUCCCAGAACUUUGGACAUCUGAAUUAUGUGGUUAAGAGCACCGUCAACAAAUUCAGGGAUGUAAGGCCACAAAUUUUCUUUAGGGAUGUAUUUAUCCUUUGUUCCAAAGGGUAUACGAACAAUAUAGGCACCACUGCUCUCCCCCAUCUCAUCCUCAGAAUCUUCUGAGUUUCUAAGGGUAAGCAUCUCUGUGGGCUCACCAUAACUCCAAUCUACAUCUGGUGCUGAUAAUUGUCUAGUUAACAAAUCCACUCGAUAGACUCCUGGCAUUGAGCCCAAAGCCCUUGCAAGUUCCACAACAUAUUUAACCUGACCACCAGUAUCGGAAUCACGUCCAAGCUCCAUAUUUUCACCUCGUAUUAGACCAUGAAGGCUUAUUAACACAAUGUACAGCU
RNAcentral lists this unclassified non-coding RNA (2379 nucleotides) under Hevea brasiliensis (rubber tree). Lineage: Eukaryota; Viridiplantae; Streptophyta; Magnoliopsida; Malpighiales; Euphorbiaceae. The record is from RNAcentral.